Molecule: ribosomal RNA, 576 nt
Filed under: uncultured eukaryote
Lineage: Eukaryota
Description: SSU rRNA
Rfam family: Eukaryotic small subunit ribosomal RNA
Source: RNAcentral
UAAAAACCCCGACUUCGGAAGGGGUGUAUUUAUUAGAUACAAAACCAAUGCCCUUCGGGGCUCUUUGGUGAUUCAUGAUAACUAUACGAAUCGCACGGCCUUGCGCCGGCGAUGGUUCAUUCAAAUUUCUUCCCUAUCAACUUUCGAUGUUUGGGUAUUGGCCAAACAUGGUUGCAACGGGUAACGGAGGGUUAGGGCUCGACCCCGGAGAAGGAGCCUGAGAAACGGCUACUACAUCCAAGGAAGGCAGCAGGCGCGCAAAUUACCCAAUCCCGACUCGGGGAGGUAGUGACAAUAAAUACUGAUACAGGGCCCUUUCGGGCCUUGUAAUUGGAAUGAGUACAAUUUAAAUCCCUUAACGAGGAACAAUUGGAGGGCAAGUCUGGUGCCGGCAGCCGCGGUAAUUCCAGCUCCAAUAGCGUAUAUUAAAGUUGUUGUGGUUAAAAAGCUCGUAGUUGAACCUUGGGCCUGGCUGGCCGGUCCGCCUCACCGCGUGCACUGGUCCGGCCGGGCCUUUCCCUCUGUGGAACCCCAUACCCUUCACUGGGCGUGGCGGGGAAACAGGACAUUUACUUU